UACACUCCUACGGGAGGCAGCAGUGGGGAAUUUUGGACAAUGGGCGAAAGCCUGAUCCAGCCAUGCCGCGUGCAGGAUGAAGGCCUUCGGGUUGUAAACUGCUUUUGUACGGAACGAAACGGCCUUUUCUAAUAAAGAGGGCUAAUGACGGUACCGUAAGAAUAAGCACCGGCUAACUACGUGCCAGCAGCCGCGGUAAUACGUAGGGUGCAAGCGUUAAUCGGAAUUACUGGGCGUAAAGCGUGCGCAGGCGGUUAUGUAAGACAGUUGUGAAAUCCCCGGGCUCAACCUGGGAACUGCAUCUGUGACUGCAUAGCUAGAGUACGGUAGAGGGGGAUGGAAUUCCGCGUGUAGCAGUGAGAUGCGUAGAUAUGCGGAGGAACACCGAUGGCGAAGGCAAUCCCCUGGACCUGUACUGACGCUCAUGCACGAAAGCGUGGGGAGCAAACAGGAUUAGAAACCCGGGUAGUCCCAUGAU
This 478-nucleotide ribosomal RNA is filed under the name uncultured organism. RNAcentral describes it as "partial 16S ribosomal RNA". It matches the Rfam family "Bacterial small subunit ribosomal RNA", at positions 332 to 801 of the family's 1533-position model. The record is from RNAcentral.